Molecule: ribosomal RNA, 253 nt
Filed under: uncultured bacterium
Lineage: Bacteria
Description: partial 16S ribosomal RNA
Rfam family: Bacterial small subunit ribosomal RNA
Source: RNAcentral
UACGGAGGGUGCGAGCGUUAAUCGGAAUUACUGGGCGUAAAGCGUACGCAGGCGGUUUUUUAAGCGAGAUGUGAAAGCCCCCGGCUCAACCUGGGGACUGCCUUUCGAACUGGCAAACUAGAGUGUGAUAGAGGGUGGUAGAAUUUCAGGUGUAGCGGUGAAAUGCGUAGAGAUCUGAAGGAAUACCGAUGGCGAAGGCAGCCACCUGGGUCAACACUGACGCUCAUGUACGAAAGCGUGGGGAGCAAACAGG